This 403-nucleotide ribosomal RNA is filed under the name uncultured bacterium. RNAcentral's name for it is "bacterial SSU rRNA". It matches the Rfam family "Bacterial small subunit ribosomal RNA", at positions 29 to 433 of the family's 1533-position model. The record is from RNAcentral.
AUUGAACGCUGGCGGCGUGCUUAACACAUGCAAGUCGAUCGGUAACAGGUGUAGCAAUACAUGCUGACGAGAGGCGGACGGGUGAGUAAUGCUUGGGAAUCUGCCUAUUAGUGGGGGACAACCCGGGGAAACUCGGGCUAAUACCGCAUACGCUCUACGGAGGAAAGCCGGGGACCGCAAGGCCUGGCGCUAAUAGAUGAGCCCAAAUCGGAUUAGCUAGUUGGAGGGUAACGGCCUACCAAGCGACAAUCCGUAGCUGGUCUGAGAGGACGACCAGCCACACCGGAACUGAGACACAGUCCGGACUCCUACGGGAGGCAGCAGUGGGGAAUAUUGGACAAUGGGGGCAACCCUGAUCCAGCGACGCCGCGUGGGUGAAGAAGGCCUGCGGGUUGUAAAGCCC